RNAcentral lists this ribosomal RNA (497 nucleotides) under uncultured bacterium. Its description in RNAcentral is "partial 16S ribosomal RNA". It matches the Rfam family "Bacterial small subunit ribosomal RNA", at positions 28 to 507 of the family's 1533-position model. The record is from RNAcentral.
GAUGAACGCUGGCGGCGUGCCUAAUACAUGCAAGUCGAGCGAACAGAUAAGGAGCUUGCUCCUUUGACGUUAGCGGCGGACGGGUGAGUAACACGUGGGUAACCUACCUAUAAGACUGGGAUAACUUCGGGAAACCGGAGCUAAUACCGGAUAACAUUUGGAACCGCAUGGUUCUAAAGUGAAAGAUGGUUUUGCUAUCACUUAUAGAUGGACCCGCGCCGUAUUAGCUAGUUGGUAAGGUAACGGCUUACCAAGGCGACGAUACGUAGCCGACCUGAGAGGGUGAUCGGCCACACGGGAGCUGAGACACGGUCCAGACUCCUACGGGAGGCAGCAGUAGGGAAUCUUCCGCAAUGGGCGAAAGCCUGACGGAGCAACGCCGCGUGAGUGAUGAAGGGUUUCGGCUCGUAAAACUCUGUUAUUAGGGAAGAACAAAUGUGUAAGUAACUGUGCACGUCUUGACGGUACCUAAUCAGAAAGCCACGGCUAACUACGUG